AUGGCCACCGCCCUCCGCCCUCCCCGGCUCCCAGCAGUUCCAGAGCAAGCCUCUUCACUUCAUCGCCUACCAAAGUACAGAGUUGCCGUCACUGGGCGUAGGAGCUUCGCCGCCAGGGCCGGCUCGUAUCCAGGCAACGUGGGCGUCCCGAAGCAAUGGUACAACCUCAUCGCCGACCUGCCGGUGAAGCCGCCGCCGAUGCUGCACCCGGGGACGCACCAGCCGCUGAACCCCAGCGACCUGGCCCCUCUCUUCCCCGACGAGCUCAUCAGGCAGGAGCUCACGGAGGAGCGCUUCAUCGACAUACCCGACGAGGUCCGGGAUGUCUACGAGCUCUGGCGCCCGACGCCACUGAUCAGGGCCAAGAGGCUGGAGAAGCUGCUCGGCACGCCGGCGAAGAUCUACUACAAGUACGAGGGCACUAGCCCGGCGGGGUCGCACAAGGGCAACACCGCCGUGCCGCAGGCGUGGUACAACGCCGCGGCGGGGGUCAAGAACGUGGUCACCGAGACCGGCGCCGGCCAGUGGGGCAGCGCGCUCUCCUUCGCCAGCACCCUCUUCGGCCUCAACUGCGAGGUGUGGCAGGUGCGCGCGUCCUACGACCAGAAGCCGUACCGGAGGCUGAUGAUGGAGACGUGGGGCGCCAAGGUGCACCCGUCGCCGUCCGACGUGACGGAGGCCGGCAGGAAGCUCCUGGCGGCGGACCCGGCCAGCCCGGGGAGCCUCGGGAUGGCCAUCUCCGAGGCGGUGGAGGUCGCGGCCACCAACGCCGACACCAAGUACUGCCUCGGCAGCGUGCUCAACCACGUCCUGCUGCACCAGACCGUCAUCGGCGAGGAGUGCCUGGAGCAGCUGGCGGCCAUCGGCGACACCCCGGACGUCGUCAUCGGCUGCACCGGCGGCGGCUCCAACUUCGGCGGGCUCGCCUUCCCCUUCAUGCGCGAGAAGCUGGCCGGCAGGAUGAGCCCGCAGUUCAAGGCCGUGGAGCCCGCGGCGUGCCCCACGCUCACCAAGGGCGUCUACGCCUACGACUACGGCGACACGGCCGGGCUGACGCCGCUCAUGAAGAUGCACACCCUCGGCCACGACUUUGUCCCCGAUCCCAUCCAUGCAGGUGGGCUUCGCUACCAUGGAAUGGCGCCUCUGAUUUCCCAUGUGUAUGAGCUCGGGUUCAUGGAGGCCAUGUCCAUACAGCAAACUGAGUGCUUCGAAGCUGCAUUGCAAUUUGCACGGACGGAGGGCAUCAUCCCAGCGCCGGAGCCGACGCACGCGAUCGCGGCGGCGAUCAGGGAAGCGCUGGAGUGCAAGAGGACCGGGGAGGAGAAGGUCAUCCUCAUCGCCAUGUGCGGCCACGGCCACUUCGACCUCGCCGCCUACGACCGGUACCUGAGAGGCGACAUGAUUGAUCUCUCGCACUCCUCCGAGAAGCUCAAGGAGUCUCUGGGUGCCAUUCCCAAAGUCUGA
Molecule: ribosomal RNA, 1464 nt
Filed under: Triticum aestivum (bread wheat)
Lineage: Eukaryota; Viridiplantae; Streptophyta; Magnoliopsida; Poales; Poaceae
Description: partial small subunit ribosomal RNA
Source: RNAcentral